RNAcentral lists this long non-coding RNA (305 nucleotides) under Capsella rubella. Its description in RNAcentral is "long non-coding RNA (CRUB_LNC001168)". Lineage: Eukaryota; Viridiplantae; Streptophyta; Magnoliopsida; Brassicales; Brassicaceae. The record is from RNAcentral.
GGAUAAAAUAAAAAGGUUUUGAUUACAGAGAUUAGUAGUUAAUUACUUAAUUAGUAAAUAUUAGAAGUAGCCGUUAAUAAUAUGUCAUCAGAAUCGAAGCAGACUCUGGAGUUGUCCAUAUUCCUAAUUGCAACACCGUGAGUAAUCAAACACGCGCUCAUGUCUUCUCUGGUUGAGUGACUGAGUGUUACAUACUUUGACACGCGCUAGAUUCUGUCGCGUGUAUUUAAGUUAUCGCCGACGAAUGCGUAGGUUAGAGAAGCAUACAUGCGCAAGGUAAUAAAACUAGAAGAAGAAAAAAAAAA